CAUUCUCAUCUUAGCCUCCCUGGCCACCAUCUUCCUUGUGUGCACGGUGGUGCUGGCCGUCCGCCUCUCCCGUAAGACGCACAUGUACCCAGUGCGGAACUACUCCCCCACAGAGAUGAUCUGCAUCUCAUCCUUGCUUCCCGAGGGGGGUGACGGGGCCCCUGUCACAGCCAACGGGGGCCUGCCCAAGGUCCAGGACCAGAAGACAGAACGCAGUGGGGACCCGGAUGGGGAUGACCUCACCCUGCACAGCUUCCUCCCUUAGCCCACCUGAGCAAGACCCUUGCUGGUUCCAUGAUUACCCCAUCAGUCAUGAAGGCCAUAGAUUUGGGCCUCCUGGGUGAAGUGUAUACACAGGACUCUUUAGGGAAGGGACCUUACGCCACUCCAAUCAGGGUCCAGAGCCCCCAAGGUCCUGAGCUUCCUGCUUUGUUCCUGGAGCCUGGUGGCCUCCAGGACAAGGUCUACAGUAACAUUAACAUUCUCCACCUCUUUUCUGUUUUGUCUGAUAUCCCCGUCCCCAUUGCCCUCCCACUGCUGUGUGUCCCCCGCAGGUCACUGGAUUCCUGUCCUUCCAUUAAGAAGGACUCAGCUCCCUUCCCCCACUCCCAAAGC
Molecule: long non-coding RNA, 615 nt
Filed under: Rattus norvegicus (Norway rat)
Lineage: Eukaryota; Metazoa; Chordata; Mammalia; Rodentia; Muridae
Description: long non-coding RNA NONRATT007629
Source: RNAcentral